ACGGUUUCCUCUUCGAGGCACCUGCACAGGUGCUGCAUGGCUGUCGUCAGCUCGUGUCGUGAGAUGUUGGUUAAGUCCCGCAACGAGCGCAACCCUUAUCCCUAGUUGCCAUCAGGUAAAGCUGGGAACUCUGGGGAGACUGCCGGUGAUAAACCGGAGGAAGCGGGGAUGACGUCAAGUCCUCAUGGCCCUUACAUCCCGGGCUACACACGUGCUACAAUGGCAGGUACAGAGGGCUGCGAAGCCGCGAGGUGGAGCGAAUCCCAGAAAACCUGUCUCAGUCCGGAUUGAAGUCUGCAACUCGACUUCAUGAAGGCGGAAUCGCUAGUAACCGCGAAUCAGCAGGUCGCGGUGAAUACGUUCCCGGGCCUU
RNAcentral lists this ribosomal RNA (372 nucleotides) under uncultured Latescibacterota bacterium. RNAcentral describes it as "bacterial SSU rRNA". It matches the Rfam family "Bacterial small subunit ribosomal RNA", at positions 1008 to 1382 of the family's 1533-position model. The record is from RNAcentral. Lineage: Bacteria; Pseudomonadati; Candidatus Latescibacterota.